RNAcentral lists this unclassified non-coding RNA (342 nucleotides) under soil metagenome. RNAcentral describes it as "partial contains 5.8S ribosomal RNA, internal transcribed spacer 2, and large subunit ribosomal RNA". The stretch from base 1 to 120 matches the Rfam family "5.8S ribosomal RNA", at positions 35 to 154 of the family's 154-position model. The record is from RNAcentral.
GAUGAAGAACGUAGCGAAAUGCGAUAAGUAGUGUGAAUUGCAGAAUUCAGUGAAUCAUCGAAUCUUUGAACGCACAUUGCGGCCAUAGGUAUUCCUUUAGCCAUGCCUGUUCGAGCGUCAUUUACACCCUCAAGCCUAGCUUGGUGUUGGGCGUCUGUCCCGCCGUUCUCGCGCGCGGACUCGCCUCAAAGUCAUUGGCGGCGGUCGUGCCGGCCCCCUCGCGCAGCACAUUUGCGCUUCUUGGAGGCCCGGCGGAUCCGCGCUCCAGCAAGACCUUUCACGACUUGACCUCGGAUCAGGUAGGGAUACCCGCUGAACUUAAGCAUAUCAAUAAGCGGAGGA